Molecule: ribosomal RNA, 1452 nt
Filed under: Staphylococcus aureus
Lineage: Bacteria; Bacillati; Bacillota; Bacilli; Caryophanales; Staphylococcaceae
Description: partial 16S ribosomal RNA
Rfam family: Bacterial small subunit ribosomal RNA
Source: RNAcentral
GAGCGAACGGACGAGAAGCUUGCUUCUCUGAUGUUAGCGGCGGACGGGUGAGUAACACGUGGAUAACCUACCUAUAAGACUGGGAUAACUUCGGGAAACCGGAGCUAAUACCGGAUAAUAUUUUGAACCGCAUGGUUCAAAAGUGAAAGACGGUCUUGCUGUCACUUAUAGAUGGAUCCGCGCUGCAUUAGCUAGUUGGUAAGGUAACGGCUUACCAAGGCAACGAUGCAUAGCCGACCUGAGAGGGUGAUCGGCCACACUGGAACUGAGACACGGUCCAGACUCCUACGGGAGGCAGCAGUAGGGAAUCUUCCGCAAUGGGCGAAAGCCUGACGGAGCAACGCCGCGUGAGUGAUGAAGGUCUUCGGAUCGUAAAACUCUGUUAUUAGGGAAGAACAUAUGUGUAAGUAACUGUGCACAUCUUGACGGUACCUAAUCAGAAAGCCACGGCUAACUACGUGCCAGCAGCCGCGGUAAUACGUAGGUGGCAAGCGUUAUCCGGAAUUAUUGGGCGUAAAGCGCGCGUAGGCGGUUUUUUAAGUCUGAUGUGAAAGCCCACGGCUCAACCGUGGAGGGUCAUUGGAAACUGGAAAACUUGAGUGCAGAAGAGGAAAGUGGAAUUCCAUGUGUAGCGGUGAAAUGCGCAGAGAUAUGGAGGAACACCAGUGGCGAAGGCGACUUUCUGGUCUGUAACUGACGCUGAUGUGCGAAAGCGUGGGGAUCAAACAGGAUUAGAUACCCUGGUAGUCCACGCCGUAAACGAUGAGUGCUAAGUGUUAGGGGGUUUCCGCCCCUUAGUGCUGCAGCUAACGCAUUAAGCACUCCGCCUGGGGAGUACGACCGCAAGGUUGAAACUCAAAGGAAUUGACGGGGACCCGCACAAGCGGUGGAGCAUGUGGUUUAAUUCGAAGCAACGCGAAGAACCUUACCAAAUCUUGACAUCCUUUGACAACUCUAGAGAUAGAGCCUUCCCCUUCGGGGGACAAAGUGACAGGUGGUGCAUGGUUGUCGUCAGCUCGUGUCGUGAGAUGUUGGGUUAAGUCCCGCAACGAGCGCAACCCUUAAGCUUAGUUGCCAUCAUUAAGUUGGGCACUCUAAGUUGACUGCCGGUGACAAACCGGAGGAAGGUGGGGAUGACGUCAAAUCAUCAUGCCCCUUAUGAUUUGGGCUACACACGUGCUACAAUGGACAAUACAAAGGGCAGCGAAACCGCGAGGUCAAGCAAAUCCCAUAAAGUUGUUCUCAGUUCGGAUUGUAGUCUGCAACUCGACUACAUGAAGCUGGAAUCGCUAGUAAUCGUAGAUCAGCAUGCUACGGUGAAUACGUUCCCGGGUCUUGUACACACCGCCCGUCACACCACGAGAGUUUGUAACACCCGAAGCCGGUGGAGUAACCUUUUAGGAGCUAGCCGUCGAAGGUGGGACAAAUGAUUGGGGUGAAGUCGUAACAAGG